This is a non-coding RNA of Punica granatum (pomegranate), 1213 nucleotides long. Lineage: Eukaryota; Viridiplantae; Streptophyta; Magnoliopsida; Myrtales; Lythraceae. The record is from RefSeq and is a predicted model, not a curated record.
AUCACCAUUUUGAAAACAAACGGAGCAGACUCUCAGAUGAAGACGAACCCGCGACACGCGAUCUCUAGCCCGCAACCCUCGAGUCCUCAACCGCGACCUCGAGCCCGCUGCUCUCACCUCUCUCAGUUCUCUGCCCUUCGAAGCUGUCUCAGUCUCCCCUUUCUCAUGCUCGUAGCCGCCUCAGCCUCCCUUGUUUCAUGGUCGCAACCGCCUCAUCACCUCUCUCUCAUGCUCGUAGGCCUCCCCUCACAACUCAAGUCGAUUUCAGCAAGGCUCUUUCAGUUGGUUGAGCAAGGCUCUUAAGAUGAGGGUGCUGAGCUCUGUUGUGGUCGGCUAUGGCGGAUUCUUGAUCUGAGUUUAGCUCUUGCUUGUGACUUGGGAGAAGGCUCUGUCUACUCUGCUUCAGAUUUGGUCACUGGAGUUUUCUGUCUUCUGGGUUUUUCCUGUGAAUCUUAUGCUUUAGAUAUAUUCAGUAAAAAAUAGAUAUAUUCUUGACAUUUGAGGUUAAGCCAUGGUGAGCUUCGCUGUUGGUCUUCCAUGGCGGAUUUCAGGUAGGUUCAUGCUCGUCUCAGGUGGCACCCUUUUGCUUGAGUUUGCUUUGUUCUUAGGUUCAGUGGCUGCAGUGGAAUAUGUUGCUGAAAUCUUGUCCUUUUUCAUAGACGGGUCCUGUGCAUUGUUAUCGGCACUUCGAUACAACGAUAAAUCUUGAUUUUGAUGUAUAUGGUGAUUUUGCUGAGAAAACAUGGUUUUACAUUCCAAUGUGGGUUUCGAGGCAUUUGAUCUUAGUCGCCACACAACAACCCUAUGUUUGAAAUUCCAUCAUUUGGUUCCCUUUUGCCCGUGCUUGCACUUCUCAAGCGGAAUUAUAUGCAAUUGCUUAGCAAAGUUGGGUUUUUUUCUGCUUGAUCUCUGAACAGAGCCGAGUGCGUAGUUGGUUGCCUUGCCUUCACAGGGUUUUCGUUCCAUUUGUGCUGCCAUUGUUGUUAUUGUUGAUUUCAGUUGUUGCCUUGUGUUUUGUGGAAAAAUUUCGGUCAAGUUAACUGUGUUGUAUUCCGUAUGUCUUAGCUUUGGAGUCGCUCGUUCAAUCAAUUCGAGCUCUUCCUUUCUGGCGUGUUUUGUUUUCAAAUGCUGGUGUUGUUUCUUUCUACUGGAUCGGAUUAUCUCAUAUGUAUUCUGAUGAAUGCUGAUCAAGAAAUAAAAGCCUUUGUCAUAA